GUACUUGCGGGAAGGCAUAGUAAAUCAGCUCAUCCCAUGGGACUAGAAAUGCAUCUCCCCGGAUCUCUUCACCAGUUCCACACAGGAGCAAAAGCGAGGACAUUUGGUGUUCCUCCCAGUUACAAAAAGAGUGAAACCAGUUGGCGCAGAGAGGAGCCGCUGCCUCUGAAGCAGCUAGCGCUGACUGAACAGUGUUCCCCGGUUUGUUUUGUUUGUCUCUUUGAAGUGGAAAUAAAGUAACAAGGCAAUCUGUAAUUAAAUGAGAUCAAAAGGUUGUGAAGAGAGUGAAAUAUUUCUGUGAGGAGAGAAGCACCUGAGAUGGCAGGAGAGCUCCGUUCACAACAGAGGACGGAAGAAGAGGAACUGAGGGAAGGGGAUUCGGGCUGCACUCAACUGUCAAACUGCCAGCAGCAUGAGAGGCUCACUGCGCAUGCAUGGCCCAACUGCUACCUGCUAUGAAAAGGUCUCUGAACCUGCAGCUCCAGGAAAGACUCAUUGCCUAGAGUGGAGCACCCACAGGGACAUCACCCAAAGAACAAACAACAACUCAUGACUCCAAGAUCUCUUCUUGAGAGAUUGACAAAGACUGGAGUGUCACUUGUGAGUCCUUGAGUGAGUGGAGGGACUCAUCCGUCUUCUCGGCAAAUAGUCUGGGCCCCUCAAGUGGCAAGUCUUCCACCAUGGAUUGCAUCUCUUUG
Molecule: non-coding RNA, 698 nt
Organism: Pelodiscus sinensis (Chinese soft-shelled turtle)
Lineage: Eukaryota; Metazoa; Chordata; Testudines; Trionychidae
Source: RefSeq, a predicted model, not a curated record